This 206-nucleotide unclassified non-coding RNA is filed under the name Hevea brasiliensis (rubber tree). Lineage: Eukaryota; Viridiplantae; Streptophyta; Magnoliopsida; Malpighiales; Euphorbiaceae. The record is from RNAcentral.
AAGAAGUUCAGCUGGUGAUUAGACCACAAUGUUUGAGUCAUCAAGGGCACAGUGCAAUCUAUAGAUAUUGUUUGUACGUUCCCUUACAAGAUCCAAUGAAAGACAUUUUUCUAGUUGUGAUGAUCUAUAUCACUGAAGCCUUCUUGUUUUACAGGAUCAGUUUAUUGUUUCUUUAAACAACAUUGAUGCAUAAGUUUCUUUUUUUU